UCAGAGCCAGCCCAGUUUUAACCUAACCAAUACAUGGCUGAAUCGGCUCCUCACAACAGGAGCUUCAUGACUUCUAGACUCAGAUGUAGAAGCCACGUCUGCCAUGAACACAAGGAGAAUUGAAAACUCAGCCUUCCAACUCUCAAUUGAGAAACUGAAUGGGAAGAAUUACAAAGAAUGGGCACAGUCGAUAAAGCUAAUAAUCGACGGAAAAGGGAAACUUGGAUAAUUACUGGAGAAACCAAGGUGCCGGCCUCAACCAACACGGAUCUCCUUCAGAAGUAGGAGUCGGAGAACUUGAUGGCGACUGCCUAGCUUGUCAAUUCCAUGAAGCCGAACAUCGAAAAAUCAUAUUUAUUUCUCCCAACUGCAAAAGAGGUUUGGGAAGCAGUUAAAGAAAUGUAUUCAGUCACAAAGAAUUUUUCUAGAAUUUUCGAAAUCAAAUCGAAGUUAUGGCAGACAAAGCAAGGAGAUCGAGAUGUGAUGGAUUAUUACGUGGGGAUGAACGAAUUAUGGCAAGAAUUAGACAUGAGUACCGAGGAAGAAUGGAAGUGUGCAGAAGAUAGCGUGCGGUAUACAAAAAAAUUGGAAACUGAAAGGGUGUUCGAGUUUCUAGCAGGUCUUCAUCUCGACCUAGAUGAUGUUCGUGGUCGAAUACUUGGCCGGCGUCCUCUUCCAUUGCCACGUGAAGUGUUUUCAACGGUGAGAAAAGAAGAAGACCGGCGGAAAGUCAUGUUGAGCGAGUCUAGUGCGCCGGCACUAGAAGUGUC
Molecule: long non-coding RNA, 770 nt
Filed under: Olea europaea (common olive)
Lineage: Eukaryota; Viridiplantae; Streptophyta; Magnoliopsida; Lamiales; Oleaceae
Description: long non-coding RNA (OEUR_LNC001273)
Source: RNAcentral